RNAcentral lists this ribosomal RNA (273 nucleotides) under uncultured bacterium. Its description in RNAcentral is "partial 16S ribosomal RNA". It matches the Rfam family "Bacterial small subunit ribosomal RNA", at positions 524 to 796 of the family's 1533-position model. The record is from RNAcentral.
UACAGAGGUCCCGAGCGUUGUUCGGAUUCACUGGGCGUAAAGGGUGCGCAGGUGGCCAUGCAAGUUCGAUGUGAAAGCCCCGGGCUUAACCCGGGAAUGGCAUUGAAAACUGCGUGGCUGGAGGAUCGGAGGGGGGACUGGAAUUCUUGGUGUAGCAGUGAAAUGCGUAGAUAUCAAGAGGAACACCAGUGGCGAAGGCGAGUCCCUGGACGAUACCUGACACUGAGGCACGAAAGCUAGGGGAGCAAACAGGAUUAGAUACCCCCGUAGUCC